CAUGCAAGUCGAACGCGAAAGUUCCCUUCGGGGGACAGUAGAGUGGCGCACGGGUGAGUAACACGUAGGUAAUCUACCUUCGGAUGGGGAAUAACAAUCGGAAACGGUUGCUAAUACCGCAUAAUGCAGCGGCACCUAAUGGUGACAGUUGUUAAAGCGGGGGAUCGAAAGACCUCGCGUCUGAAGAGGAGCCUGCGGCGGAUUAGCUAGUUGGUAAGGUAACGGCUUACCAAGGCGACGAUCCGUAGCCGGCCUGAGAGGGCGGUCGGCCACACUGACACUGACAUACGGGUCAGACUCCUACGGGAGGCAGCAGUCGGGAAUUUUGGGCAAUGGGCGAAAGCCUGACCCAGCAACGCCGCGUGAAGGAUGAAAUCCCUCGGGAUGUAAACUUCGCAAGAACGGGAAGAAUAAGUAGGGGACAAUACCCCCUAUGAUGACGGUACCGUUUGUAAGCUCCGGCUAACUCCGUGCCAGCAGCCGCGGUAAUACGGGGGGAGCAAGCGUUGUUCGGAUUUACUGGGCGUAAAGGGCGCGUAGGCGGCCAGCGGCAAGUCAGUUGUGAAAUCUCCGAGCUUAACUCGGAAAAGGUCAAUUGAUACUGCGCGGUUAGAGUGCAAAAGGGGCAACUGGAAUUCUCGGUGUACGGUGAAAUGCGUAGAUCUCCGAGAGGAACACCUGCGGGCGAAGGCGGGUUUGCUGGCUGAACACUGACG
This 716-nucleotide ribosomal RNA is filed under the name uncultured bacterium. RNAcentral describes it as "bacterial SSU rRNA". It matches the Rfam family "Bacterial small subunit ribosomal RNA", at positions 54 to 745 of the family's 1533-position model. The record is from RNAcentral.